Molecule: ribosomal RNA, 241 nt
Filed under: uncultured bacterium
Lineage: Bacteria
Description: partial 16S ribosomal RNA
Rfam family: Bacterial small subunit ribosomal RNA
Source: RNAcentral
UUGCCCCUACGGGACGCAGCAGUAGGGAAUCUUCCACAAUGGGCGAAAGCCUGAUGGAGCAACGCCGCGUGGGUGAAGAAGGUCUUCGGAUCGUAAAACCCUGUUGUUAGAGAAGAAAGUGCGUGAGAGUAACUGCUCACGUUUCGACGGAAUCUAACCAGAAAGCCACGGCUAACUACGUGCCAGCAGCCGCGGUAAUACGUAGGUGGCAAGCGUUAUCCGGAUUUAUUGGGCGUAAAGG